UACGAAGGGGGCUAGCGUUGCUCGGAAUCACUGGGCGUAAAGGGCGCGUAGGCGGAUCUUUAAGUCAGGGGUGAAAGCCUGAGGCUCAACCUCAGAAUUGCCUUUGAUACUGAAGAUCUUGAGACCGGAAGGGGUUAGUGGAACUGCGAGUGUAGAGGUGAAAUUCGUAGAUAUUCGCAAGAACACCAGUGGCGAAGGCGGCUAACUGGUCCGGUUCUGACGCUGAGGAGCGAAAGCCAGGGGAGCAAACGGG
Molecule: ribosomal RNA, 253 nt
Filed under: uncultured bacterium
Lineage: Bacteria
Description: partial 16S ribosomal RNA
Rfam family: Bacterial small subunit ribosomal RNA
Source: RNAcentral